This 254-nucleotide ribosomal RNA is filed under the name uncultured bacterium. RNAcentral describes it as "partial 16S ribosomal RNA". It matches the Rfam family "Bacterial small subunit ribosomal RNA", at positions 524 to 776 of the family's 1533-position model. The record is from RNAcentral.
UACGUAGGGUGCGAGCGUUGUCCGGAAUUAUUGGGCGUAAAGAGCUCGUAGGCGGUCUGUCGCGUCGGUCGUGAAAACUUGGGGCUUAACCCUGAGCUUGCGGUCGAUACGGGCAUGACUGGAGUUCGGCAGGGGAGACUGGAAUUCCUGGUGUAGCGGUGAAAUGCGUAGAUAUCGGGAGGAACACCAGUGGCGAAGGCGGUUGCCUGGAGCUUUGCUGACGCUGAGGCGCGAAAGCGUGGGGAGCGAUCCGG